UAGUGGGAGAUCAGAAUGUUUAGCCUCAAAUAGGAAUUAUGGAACUACACUUUGUACAGGACGACGGUGGCUAUGUGGUUACUGUAGCUGACUGCAAACACAUAGGUUGGCGGUUCGAAUCCGUGCCCUCCUGGAUUUUGACUUAAGGUCUGUUCAGGAUCAGAAGUGAAAUGUGAUGUGUGUGAGAAUCCGUACUUGGACGACGCAGCUUCUCUUUUCUAUGUCUUAGGUCUCUCUAGGACAUUACUCUCCCGAGAUGUGAAAAAUAAAAAUAAAAUAGAAAGAAAUAAAAAAAAUAAAAAUAAAAAAAGCUUACCUAUGAAAACAACAUAGAAAAAA
Molecule: long non-coding RNA, 339 nt
Organism: Bombus impatiens (common eastern bumble bee)
Lineage: Eukaryota; Metazoa; Arthropoda; Insecta; Hymenoptera; Apidae
Exons: 2
Source: RefSeq, a predicted model, not a curated record